GACAUCCAGAGAACUUAGCAGAGAUGCUUUGUGCCUUCGGGAACUCUGAGACAGGUGCUGCAUGGCUGUCGUCAGCUCGUGUUGUGAAAUGUUGGGUUAAGUCCCGCAACGAGCGCAACCCUUAUCCUUUGUUGCCAGCGGUUCGGCCGGGAACUCAAAGGAGACUGCCGGUGAUAAACCGGAGGAAGGUGGGGAUGACGUCAAGUCAUCAUGGCCCUUACGGCCAGGGCUACACACGUGCUACAAUGGCGCAUACAAAGAGAAGCGACCUCGCGAGAGCAAGCGGACCUCAUAAAGUGCGUCGUAGUCCGGAUUGGAGUCUGCAACUCGACUCCAUGAAGUCGGAAUCGCUAGUAAUCGUAGAUCAGAAUGCUACGGUGAAUACGUUCCCGGGCCUUGUACACACCGCCCGUCACACCAUGGGAGUGGGUUGCAAAAGAAGUAGGUAGCUUAACCUUCGGGAGGGCGCUUACCACUUUGUGAUUCAUGACUGGGGUGAAGUCGUAACAAGGUAGGCGUAGCGAG
This 525-nucleotide ribosomal RNA is filed under the name uncultured bacterium. Its description in RNAcentral is "bacterial SSU rRNA". It matches the Rfam family "Bacterial small subunit ribosomal RNA", at positions 983 to 1509 of the family's 1533-position model. The record is from RNAcentral.